Molecule: ribosomal RNA, 236 nt
Filed under: uncultured Staphylococcus sp.
Lineage: Bacteria; Bacillati; Bacillota; Bacilli; Caryophanales; Staphylococcaceae
Description: partial 16S ribosomal RNA
Rfam family: Bacterial small subunit ribosomal RNA
Source: RNAcentral
GGGUGAGUAACACGUGGAUAACCUACCUAUAAGACUGGGAUAACUUCGGGAAACCGGAGCUAAUACCGGAUAAUAUUUUGAACCGCAUGGUUCAAAAGUGAAAGACGGUCUUGCUGUCACUUAUAGAUGGAUCCGCGCUGCAUUAGCUAGUUGGUAAGGUAACGGCUUACCAAGGCGACGAUGCAUAGCCGACCUGAGAGGGUGAUCGGCCACACUGGAACUGAGACACGGUCCAG